This 213-nucleotide ribosomal RNA is filed under the name uncultured bacterium. RNAcentral describes it as "16S ribosomal RNA". It matches the Rfam family "Bacterial small subunit ribosomal RNA", at positions 98 to 316 of the family's 1533-position model. The record is from RNAcentral.
GCGAACNGGUGAGUAAUACNUCGNAACGUGCCCAGUCGUGGGGGAUAACGUAGCGAAACGUACUAAUACCGCAUACGAUCUACGGAUGAAAGCGGGGGACUCGCAAGNCCUCGCGCGAUUGGAGCGGCCGAUGNAGAUUAGGUAGUUGGUGGGGUAAAGGCUCACCAAGCCUGCGAUCUGUAGCUGGUCUGAGAGGACGACCAGCCACACUGG